CCUACGGGAGGCAGCAGUGGGGAAUAUUGGGCAAUGGGCGCAAGCCUGACCCAGCAAAGCCGCGUGAAGGAAGAAGGCUCUCGGGUUGUUAACUUCUUUUGACAGGGAAGAGUAGUAGACGGUACCUGUCGAAUAAGCCACGGGUAACUACGUGCCAGCAGCUGCGGGAAUACGGAGGUGGGAAGUGUUGUCCGGAUUUACUGGGUGUAAAGGGCGUGUUGCCGGGUUGGCAAGUCAGAUGGUAAAUCCUGCGGCUUAAACGCAGAACUGCAUUUGAAACUGUUUGUCUUGAGUACUGGAGAGGCAGGCGGAAUGCCUAGUGUAGCGGUGAAAUGCGUAGAUAUGAGGAGGAACACCGGUGGCGAAGGCAGUCUGCUGGA
Molecule: ribosomal RNA, 380 nt
Filed under: uncultured bacterium
Lineage: Bacteria
Description: partial 16S ribosomal RNA
Rfam family: Bacterial small subunit ribosomal RNA
Source: RNAcentral